This 88-nucleotide transfer RNA is filed under the name Ailuropoda melanoleuca (giant panda). It matches the Rfam family "tRNA". Rfam says of the family: Transfer RNA (tRNA) molecules are approximately 80 nucleotides in length. Lineage: Eukaryota; Metazoa; Chordata; Mammalia; Carnivora; Ursidae. The record is from Rfam by way of RNAcentral.
GCCCGGGUGUCUUAUUUGGUAGAGAGUCUGACUCUUGAUAUCAGGUCCUUUGAUCUCAGGAUUGUGAGUUCAAGCCCUGCCCUGGGCA